This 497-nucleotide ribosomal RNA is filed under the name uncultured bacterium. Its description in RNAcentral is "partial 16S ribosomal RNA". It matches the Rfam family "Bacterial small subunit ribosomal RNA", at positions 28 to 507 of the family's 1533-position model. The record is from RNAcentral.
GAUGAACGCUGGCGGCGUGCCUAAUACAUGCAAGUCGAGCGAACAGACGAGGAGCUUGCUCCCCUGACGUUAGCGGCGGACGGGUGAGUAACACGUGGAUAACCUACCUAUAAGACUGGGAUAACUUCGGGAAACCGGAGCUAAUAACGGAUAAUAUAUUGAACCGCAUGGUUCAAUAGUGAAUGACGGUUUUGCUGUCACUAUUAGAUGGAUCCGCGCCGCAUUAGCUAGUUGGUAAGGUAACGGCUUACCAAGGCAACGAUGCGUAGCCGACCUGAGAGGGUGAUCGGCCACACUGGAACUGAGACACGGUCCAGACUCCUACGGGAGGCAGCAGUAGGGAAUCUUCCGCAAUGGGCGAAAGCCUGACGGAGCAACGCCGCGUGAGUGAUGAAGGUCUUCGGAUCGUAAAGCUCUGUUAUUAGGGAAGAACAAAUGUGUAAGUAACUAUGCACGUCUUGACGGUACCUAAUCAGAAAGCCACGGCUAACUACGUG